This 549-nucleotide ribosomal RNA is filed under the name uncultured Glomus. Its description in RNAcentral is "SSU rRNA". It matches the Rfam family "Eukaryotic small subunit ribosomal RNA", at positions 548 to 1098 of the family's 1831-position model. The record is from RNAcentral. Lineage: Eukaryota; Fungi; Glomeromycota; Glomeromycetes; Glomerales; Glomeraceae.
UUGGAGGGCAAGUCUGGUGCCAGCAGCCGCGGUAAUUCCAGCUCCAAUAGCGUAUAUUAAAGUUGUUGCAGUUAAAAAGCUCGUAGUUGAAUUUCGGGGUUAGUAGGUUGGUCAUGCCUCUGGUAUGUACUGGUCUCACUGAUUCCUCCUUCCUGAUGAACCGUAAUGCCAUUAAUUUGGUGUUGCGGGGAAUUUGGACUGUUACUUUGAAAAAAUUAGAGUGUUUAAAGCAGGCUAACGCUUGAAUACAUUAGCAUGGAAUAAUGAAAUAGGACGUUUGAUCCUAUUUUGUUGGUUUCUAGGAUUGACGUAAUGAUUAAUAGGGAUAGUUGGGGGCAUUAGUAUUCAAUUGUCAGAGGUGAAAUUCUUGGAUUUAUUGAAGACUAACUACUGCGAAAGCAUUUGCCAAGGAUGUUUUCAUUAAUCAAGAACGAAAGUUAGGGGAUCGAAGACGAUCAGAUACCGUCGUAGUCUUAACCAUAAACUAUGCCGACUAGGGAUCGGAUGAUGUUAAUUUUUUAAUGACUCAUUCGGCGCCUUACGGGAAAC